This 308-nucleotide long non-coding RNA is filed under the name Phoenix dactylifera (date palm). Its description in RNAcentral is "long non-coding RNA (PDAC_LNC019474)". Lineage: Eukaryota; Viridiplantae; Streptophyta; Magnoliopsida; Arecales; Arecaceae. The record is from RNAcentral.
CCAUGCUAUGAAUGUGAAAAUCUCGAACUGGGAUUACUGCAUGGGAGAUUGCGGUCCUGACUUCUCGCUGUGCAAGCUGGAAUGCACCAACCAUGGCUUUCGUCAAGGAGGCCAAUGCGUAUUGAAGGACCCCGGAAGUAAAGUUUAUGAAUGUUGCUGCAUACCUGAUCAAUAGACACAUCAUCAUGAAAACAAAAUAAAACCUUUCCUCUCUGACUUUUUUGGGUACCAAGGGAUGAUUUUUAUGUAACAGUAAGGAAGGAAGGUUGGUUGUCAAUUCUAACCAAAUUCAUUGCAUCAAAUAAAGA